AUGCAUGUCUAAGUACAGGCCUAAGUAAGGCGAAACCGCGAAUGGCUCAUUAAAUCAGUUAUGGUUCAUUGGAUCUUACCCUUUCUUACUUGGAUAACUGUGGUAAUUCUAGAGCUAAUACAUGCCAACCAGUAGCUCCGACACACUCCCGUGUGGAAGAGCGCUUUUAUUAGAUCAAAACCAGUCCUCCCUCGGGAGGUCAAACCCCUUCGUGGUGACUCUGAAUAACUUUUAGCUGAGCGCACGGUCUCCGCGCCGGCGCCGCAUCUUUCAAGUGUCUGCCUUAUCAGCUUUCGAUUGUAGGUUAUGCGCCUACAAUGGCUAUAACGGGUAACGGGGAAUCAGGGUUCGAUUCCGGAGAGGGAGCCUGAGAAACGGCUACCACA
RNAcentral lists this ribosomal RNA (386 nucleotides) under Stylocheiron sp. USNM IZ 1448664. RNAcentral's name for it is "SSU rRNA". It matches the Rfam family "Eukaryotic small subunit ribosomal RNA", at positions 51 to 414 of the family's 1831-position model. Lineage: Eukaryota; Metazoa; Arthropoda; Malacostraca; Euphausiacea; Euphausiidae. The record is from RNAcentral. RNAcentral also lists the same sequence under 7 other names.